GAUGAACGCUGGCGGCGUGCCUAAUACAUGCAAGUCGAGCGAACGGACGAGAAGCUUGCUUCUCUGAUGUUAGCGGCGGACGGGUGAGUAACACGUGGAUAACCUACCUAUAAGACUGGGAUAACUUCGGGAAACCGGAGCUAAUACCGGAUAAUAUUUUGAACCGCAUGGUUCAAAAGUGAAAGACGGUCUUGCUGUCACUUAUAGAUGGAUCCGCGCUGCAUUAGCUAGUUGGUAAGGUAACGGCUUACCAAGGCAACGAUGCAUAGCCGACCUGAGAGGGUGAUCGGCCACACUGGAACUGAGACACGGUCCAGACUCCUACGGGAGGCAGCAGUAGGGAAUCUUCCGCAAUGGGCGAAAGCCUGACGGAGCAACGCCGCGUGAGUGAUGAAGGUCUUCGGAUCGUAAAACUCUGUUAUUAGGGAAGAACAUAUGUGUAAGUAACUGUUCACAUCUUGACGGUACCUAAUCAGAAAGCCACGGCUAACUACAUG
This 497-nucleotide ribosomal RNA is filed under the name uncultured bacterium. RNAcentral's name for it is "partial 16S ribosomal RNA". It matches the Rfam family "Bacterial small subunit ribosomal RNA", at positions 28 to 507 of the family's 1533-position model. The record is from RNAcentral.